GAUGAAGAACGUAGCGAAAUGCGAUAAGUAAUGUGAAUUGCAGAAUUCCGUGAAUCAUCGAAUCUUUGAACGCACAUUGCGCCCGCCAGUAUUCUGGCGGGCAUGCCUGUUCGAGCGUCAUUUCAACCAUCAAGCCCCCGGGCUUGUGUUGGGGACCUGCGGCUGCCGCAGGCCCUGAAAAGCAGUGGCGGGCUCGCUGUCACACCGAGCGUAGUAGAUUUUAUCUCGCUCUGGGCGUGCUGCGGGUUCCGGCCGUUAAACCACCCUUUUAACCCAAGGUUGACCUCGGAUCAGGUAGGAAGACCCGCUGAACUUAAGCAUAUCAAUAAGCGGAGGA
RNAcentral lists this unclassified non-coding RNA (337 nucleotides) under soil metagenome. RNAcentral describes it as "partial contains 5.8S ribosomal RNA, internal transcribed spacer 2, and large subunit ribosomal RNA". The stretch from base 1 to 120 matches the Rfam family "5.8S ribosomal RNA", at positions 35 to 154 of the family's 154-position model. The record is from RNAcentral.